UAGGGAAUCUUCCGCAAUGGACGCAAGUCUGACGGAGCAACGCCGCGUGAGUGAAGAAGGAUUUCGGUUCGUAAAACUCUGUUGUUAGAGAAGAACAGCGCAUAGAGUAACUGUUAUGCGUGUGACGGUAUCUAACCAGAAAGCCACGGCUAACUACGUGCCAGCAGCCGCGGUAAUACGUAGGUGGCAAGCGUUGUCCGGAUUUAUUGGGCGUAAAGCGAGCGCAGGCGGUCAAUUAAGUCUGAUGUGAAAGCCCCCGGCUCAACCGGGGAGGGUCAUUGGAAACGGGUUGACUUGAGUGCAGAAGAGGAGGGUGGAAUUCCAUGUGUAGCGGUGAAAUGCGUAGAUAUAUGGAGGAACACCAGUGGCGAAGGCGACUCUCUGGUCUGUAACUGACGCUGAGGUUCGAAAGCGUGGGUAGCAAACAGG
Molecule: ribosomal RNA, 429 nt
Filed under: Bacteroidota bacterium
Lineage: Bacteria; Pseudomonadati; Bacteroidota
Description: Bacteroidetes bacterium partial 16S ribosomal RNA
Rfam family: Bacterial small subunit ribosomal RNA
Source: RNAcentral